ACGUAAGUGAAUACCAUCUUGAACACACCUGAUUUUGUCUGAUCUCAGAAGCUAAGUAAGGUUGGAUUUGGCUAGUAAUUGGAUGGGAGACAUUUGAACUUUUUAAGAA
This 109-nucleotide ribosomal RNA is filed under the name Mus caroli (Ryukyu mouse). The record is from RNAcentral. Lineage: Eukaryota; Metazoa; Chordata; Mammalia; Rodentia; Muridae.